This 421-nucleotide ribosomal RNA is filed under the name uncultured bacterium. Its description in RNAcentral is "bacterial SSU rRNA". It matches the Rfam family "Bacterial small subunit ribosomal RNA", at positions 361 to 774 of the family's 1533-position model. The record is from RNAcentral.
AUCUUCCGCAAUGGGCGAAAGCCUGACGGAGCAACGCCGCGCGAGUGAUGAAGGGUUUCGCCUCGUAACAUUCUGUUAUUAGGGAAGAACAAAUGUGUAAGUAACUGUGCACAUCUUGACUGUACCUAAUCAGAAAGCCACGGCUCACUACGUGCCAGCAGCCGCGGUAAUACGUAGGUGGCAAGCGUUAUCCGGAAUUAUUGGGCGUAAAGCGCGAGUAGGCGGUUUCUUAAGUCUGAUGUGAAAGCCCACGGCUCAACCGUGGAGGGUCAUUGGAAACUGAGAAACUUGAGUGCAGAAGAGGAAAGUGGAAUUCCAUGUGUAGCGGUGAAAUGCGCAGAGAUAUGGAGGAACACCAGUGGCGAAGGCGACUUUCUGGUCUGUAACUGACGCUGAUGUGCGAAAGCGUGGGGAUCAAACA